This is a long non-coding RNA of Homo sapiens (human), 691 nucleotides long. RefSeq annotates it as GBA3 antisense RNA 1. The transcript is spliced from 4 exons. Lineage: Eukaryota; Metazoa; Chordata; Mammalia; Primates; Hominidae. The record is from RefSeq and is a predicted model, not a curated record.
ACUCCAUCUCAAAAGAAAAAAAAAAGAAAGAAAAUGGAGGAAGGAGACCCACCAUGAGCCAAGGAAUGCAGAUGGCUUCUCAAAGCUGAGAACAGUCCUUAGCUGAUAGCCAGAGCAAGAUAAUAAAGACCUCAGUUCUACAAUCACAAGGAACUGAAUUCUGCCAACAACCUGAAUGCACCAAGAGACAGACUCUUCCAAAGAUCCCUCAGAAAGAGACACAGACGUGCAGGUAUCUUGAUUUCAGCCUCACAGACACCCAUGUCAGACUUCUGACCUGCAGAACUCUAAGAUCUAAAAGGAUUAGGUAUAGUCUCCAGUUCCAACCUCAGGACAGCAGGAGUGAUAAGUCAUGGACGGCGCCAUGAGGAUACAGAAGAGGCUGCUAAAAGGAGCUCUGACAAAAGCAAAAGUGGUCAUUGAUAUCAAGGUAGAAGGAAAAGAAGACAAAAGAUGUACCAGAACUUCACUUUUUACCACUGACACGAGCUACUUCUUUGUUGAAUCAGGUCUAGACAACUAGCAAAACAAUAAAUCAAAUAAUGACUUCUAGCAUCAGCCAAUUUCUGCAACCAUGAUAUCCGUGAAGGCAGAGCUGGGAAAAGAAGAGCCGUAGCAGCACACCAUAUUACAGUGUUUCUCCUAUUCAAAUACAAGAGAUCUAAAUUACCUCAAGGCCAUAGAAAACAGU